CCCUUAGAUGUUCUGGGCUGCACGCGCGCUACACUGAUGAAUUCAACGAGCUCCUAACCUAGGCCGAAGGGUCCGGGUAAUCUUUGAAAUUUCAUCGUGAUGGGGAUAGAUUAUUGCAAUUAUUAAUCUUCAACGAGGAAUUCCUAGUAAGCGCGAGUCAUCAGCUCGCGUUGAUUACGUCCCUGCCCUUUGUACACACCGCCCGUCGCUCCUACCGAUUGAAUGGUCCGGUGAAAUGUUCGGAUCGCGGCAAAUCGGACGGGUAACCGUCAGGUUCGCUGCGAGAAGUUCAUUAAACCUUAUCAUUUAGAGGAAGGAGAAGUCGUAACA
This 330-nucleotide ribosomal RNA is filed under the name uncultured eukaryote. Its description in RNAcentral is "partial 18S ribosomal RNA". It matches the Rfam family "Eukaryotic small subunit ribosomal RNA", at positions 1470 to 1796 of the family's 1831-position model. The record is from RNAcentral.